CUCAGUUCGUUGGCUAAGCCUUGAACGUUGUGUGACCAGAAUCCUGAGGCUUUACGAACCUCUCGCGAGCUACUUCAAAUCUGCAAAUGAAAAUCAGGCCAGAUUCAAGAGGCUUGUGCAGGAAUUUACUGACCCCAUGACAGAAGUGUACCUGCUGUUCUACCAAGCCACCGUACCAACCUUCACUGACUUCAACUUGCUUCUCCAGAGACAGCAGUCAGCCAUAUAUUUGUUACAUGAUGAGAUGGUGAAAUUCGUACGCAAGCUGUGUUCAAGAUUUAUGGUUCCAGCAGCUCUGCAAGGCCAUGAGGAG
Molecule: long non-coding RNA, 313 nt
Organism: Pseudoliparis swirei
Lineage: Eukaryota; Metazoa; Chordata; Actinopteri; Perciformes; Liparidae
Exons: 3
Source: RefSeq, a predicted model, not a curated record